CCCAGGAGCCACAAGUGGCAACCACCUUUAUUGGGCCUAAAGCGUCCGUAGCCGGUUUUGUAAAUUUUCUGUGAAAUCGUUGCGCUUAACGUAACGGCGUGCAGAAAAGACUGCAAGACUAGGGACCGGGAGGAGUUGGAGGUAUUCUGGGGGGAGCGGUAAAAUGCUAUAAUCCUCGGAGGACCACCUGUGGCGAAGGCGUCCAACUAGAACGGAUUCGACGGUGAGGGACGAAAGCUAGGGGAGCAAUCCGG
Molecule: ribosomal RNA, 254 nt
Filed under: uncultured bacterium
Lineage: Bacteria
Description: partial 16S ribosomal RNA
Rfam family: Archaeal small subunit ribosomal RNA
Source: RNAcentral